CCCUUAGAUGUUCUGGGCCGCACACGCGCUACACUGAAGGAGGCAGCGUGUACUCCUGGAUCGAAAGAUUUGGGUAACCCGCGAAUCUCCUUCGUGCUAGGGAUUGAGGUUUGCAAUUAUCCUUCAUGAACGAGGAAUUCCCAGUAAGUGCAAGUCAUAAGCUUGCGCUGACUACGUCCCUGCCCUUUGUACACACCGCCCGUCGCUACUACCGAUUGAAUGAUUUAGUGAGGACUUCGGACCGGGACCGAUGCGGCUUUCGGGCUGCGUCGGUAUUCUGGAAAGAUGUCCAAACUGUAUCAUUUAGAGGAAGUAAAANUCGUANCA
Molecule: ribosomal RNA, 327 nt
Filed under: uncultured eukaryote
Lineage: Eukaryota
Description: partial 18S ribosomal RNA
Rfam family: Eukaryotic small subunit ribosomal RNA
Source: RNAcentral